CUCGGUGUUUCUAGCGACAGAGGUACACCCGAUCCCUUCCCGAACUCGGCAGUUAAGCCUGUCAGCGCCGAUGGUAGCUCUUACGAGCAAGAGUAGGUCAAUGCCGAGA
Molecule: ribosomal RNA, 109 nt
Filed under: Candidatus Moraniibacteriota bacterium
Lineage: Bacteria; Candidatus Moraniibacteriota
Source: RNAcentral